GAGGGUAUAGCUUAGUGGUAGAGUGCAUGCCUAGCAUGCACAAGGUCCUGGGUUCAAUCUCCAGUACCUCUG
Molecule: transfer RNA, 72 nt
Filed under: Camelus bactrianus (Bactrian camel)
Lineage: Eukaryota; Metazoa; Chordata; Mammalia; Artiodactyla; Camelidae
Also listed under: 2 other names
Rfam family: tRNA
About the family: Transfer RNA (tRNA) molecules are approximately 80 nucleotides in length. Their secondary structure includes four short double-helical elements and three loops (D, anti-codon, and T loops).
Source: Rfam by way of RNAcentral